Long non-coding RNA from Misgurnus anguillicaudatus (oriental weatherfish), 1218 nucleotides. RefSeq lists it as uncharacterized. Lineage: Eukaryota; Metazoa; Chordata; Actinopteri; Cypriniformes; Cobitidae. The record is from RefSeq and is a predicted model, not a curated record.
GGCAACACAGGUGUGUACACAUGCGACCAUCUCUUAGAUCUGCGCUGGUGAGGCUUCAGGCGACAAAGAGAGGAGAUUCUCUGACGUGAGCGGGCGUGAGAGAUCUGGAGUGUUGGAAAGAUGCUAAAGCAGGCCAAAGUUCAAUGUGGUUGCUAAGCAACAGGCUUGUCAGUGCCUGGAGCUGAUUGUCAUGGCCUGCAGUGAUGCCAGGCAGCAUUUCUGUGCCAACCAAUGCCAACCCAUCCGCCAUCUUUAACCACGUCACACUGAACAGGACCGCUGCCGUCCUACAGAGCUGUGUAAUACUAAAGCUGUAGACAGACUGAGUCUCACAAACACAUUUAAAAAUGGGAAACACAUUAACACUCAUGUAUUGUGUCUUGGUUCUCCAACUACGGAGGCACAUGAGGGCCACACACUUCUGCAUGUCUUUUAACUCUAGAGAAAGAGAGAGACUCACAUCCGUCACAUAUGUCAGACUGUCAACCGUCACAUCUGUCCCGUUUCAUAUGCACUUUUCAAAACCUUGAGAUCUGUCUUAAGUCUCGUUCUUUAUCGAAAAGACUGGCAUGCAUUAAAAAGACAUACAGCCCUGCCUCCAUCUACAUAAUCUGCCACAUCCAAAAUGCCAAUGCAAAGGUGAAACACUGUCAAUAAUAAAAUAUUGCAAUAUGUAUUUCUAUCAGAAUAUAUAAACUGACAUGCAGUCAAAAGAGAAAGAUGCUUUAUGCUUCCAACAUGUAGUUAAAACACCUGCAAGCAGGAGAUAACUAGACCCUGCUAACUUACCCACACUCUCUCUCUCUCUAGUGCCUCUCUGUGGUAGGGUGGAGUACUGCAACUCUUCAACAUUUAGACUAAAGACAAAAGUAGCUGGUGAUUGAUUGUGCGAGUUAUUAUGAGUUUAUUAAUUUGGCACAGGGGUUUGUUCUUAAGUGCAAGCAAUAAAAGUGAUGCAUAGGCUUGGCAAACACCAAUAAUUAUGGCUGCCUUUACAUAUUACACUAUUUUUACUUUGCUUAUGAGCUUUCUUAAUAGUACAUAAUUAGUCAGGAUCUGUUCUGUUCCGUUGCCACAAAUGAACAUCACUGUCAUUCAACUCUUCAUGGUAAUGUGGUUCUGGUGCAUCUCCGAGAUCUUGCCUUUAACUCUCAGCCAAAUCGUGUCUCACUUCAGACAGCUUAAAAACUAGUCACCGUGGUCCAAGAAGCUGUUGGA